Long non-coding RNA from Callorhinus ursinus (northern fur seal), 551 nucleotides. RefSeq lists it as uncharacterized. The record is from RefSeq and is a predicted model, not a curated record. Lineage: Eukaryota; Metazoa; Chordata; Mammalia; Carnivora; Otariidae.
CCUGAGCUGAGAUCCAGAGUCAGAUGCCUAACUGACUAAGCCACCCAGGCACUCCUCUAGUUACAUCUUAUAAUUGAGAAACUGGGAUACAGAGAGAUGAGAAAACAUGAAGGCAAGAUGGGGACAACUUGCCCAAAGGCAAGAAGGACAUCUGUGGAAGAGGCAGUCUAGAACCCGGGGUCCUUCUUCCUCCUUCCACAUCUUUCCAGAAGGAACUGCCUCCAGUGAGCUUCCAGGCCAUGAAGCCCUGGGAGCCCUCUUCUGAUACCGGUCCAGUGGACAGAGAGGAUAGGAACUGGGGGGCUCUGUUAUACUGCAGUGCCUCUAUCUGGGCCUCACAGCUUGCCAUCAAAAUGAAUAGAAGAUUGAGUUUUUCCUGGAAUGUUCUGGUUUUGGGGAUUGUUUCUCUCAUCGGCUUGGCUCUAAAGCCAAAAGGACUUUGCAUUGAGCAAAGUGAAGUCCAUGAGCUGCUUUGUAAAUUGUCUUCCUUAAACCAAGCUGAUGAUGUUUCCUUAUGAAAUGCAAUUUCUAUAUACAUGUUUUUUUUUUUU